Molecule: transfer RNA, 73 nt
Filed under: Salana multivorans
Lineage: Bacteria; Bacillati; Actinomycetota; Actinomycetes; Micrococcales; Beutenbergiaceae
Rfam family: tRNA
About the family: Transfer RNA (tRNA) molecules are approximately 80 nucleotides in length. Their secondary structure includes four short double-helical elements and three loops (D, anti-codon, and T loops).
Source: Rfam by way of RNAcentral
GCCCCCGUAGCCCAAUGGCAGAGGCAGCUGGCUUAAACCCGGUUCAGUGCGGGUUCGACUCCCGUCGGGGGCA